CCUACGGGGAGCAGCAGUGAGGAAUAUUGGUCAAUGGGCGCGAGCCUGAACCAGCGAAGUAGCGUGAAGGAUGACUGCCCUACGGGUGUUAAACUUCUUUUAUAAAGGAAAAAAGUUACACACGUGUACCAUUUUGUAUUUACUGUAUCAAUAAGGAUCGGCAAACUACGUGCCAGCACACGAGGUCAUACGGAGGAUACGAGCGUUAUCCGUAUUUGUUUGGUUUAAAGGUAUCGUACAUUGGUUGUUAAGUCAGUUGUGAACGUUUGCGGGUCAACCGUAAUAUUGCAAUUGAUACUGGCAGCCUUGAGUUCAGUAGAGGUAAGCGGAAUUCGAGGUGUAGCGGUGAAAUGCUUAGAUAUCACGAAGAACACCGAUUGCGAAGGCAGCUUACUAAACUGCCACUGACAUUGAGGCUCGAAAGUGUGGGUAUCAAACAGGAUUAGAUACCCCAGUAGUC
RNAcentral lists this ribosomal RNA (460 nucleotides) under uncultured bacterium. RNAcentral describes it as "partial 16S ribosomal RNA". It matches the Rfam family "Bacterial small subunit ribosomal RNA", at positions 338 to 795 of the family's 1533-position model. The record is from RNAcentral.